AGAGCCGCUAGCACUCUGGUUGAGUUCUCAAUGCCCUUCCGUGGACUACAAGUCCCAGGAUGCCACUGAAUCUGGCCAAGGCCGUCGAAGUGAAACAGAGCUAACAGAAUGGCUUGACCCGGAAGUGGGAGGAAGCAAUCCCUGUCAGGGGACGUUUGGCUAACAUUUAAAAAAAAAGAUUCAAACCUGCCUGCAGGAACCCACAGAGCACAUGCCAAGUCCAGAGAAAACUUUUCUUUUUCCAAAGCUGACAGGUUAGUUCUAUUCAUUUAUUUCAAUUAGAAUACAGUACAACAAUUUUUCAUAGGGCUUCUAUACCUGUUCCUUCUUCCUUUCUCAGAUCUGUCAAUGGUCACUGAAAUCUACUGGUAAUAGGAAUAAACAUGUAUGUAAUCAUUAUCACCUGCAGCAAAUUCAUUUUUAAUACUUUAUUUAAAAAAAAGUGCAUAAAACUGUUAGUUCCAAUAAUCUCUAGUAAAGAAUAGCUUUCAGAAAAUUACACCUUAAUUAUGUGUAUGAACGCAGAGCUAUUAAUUUUACUAAUGAUUAUGGCUAAUUAAACCUUUUAAAAAAUCAACUGUUGUUGUUACUGCUCACCAUAGCAAAAUAAAGCUGACAAAGUAUUUCCAUUGAGUCAAUUUUAAACGGGCAUAUUUAAAUGAUCUAAAUUAGAAAAAUAAUGGUGCAUAACAUGCACAAGACAACAGUUUACAUUGUUGACUCUACAUCAUUCGUUUUGCAUGAUGGUUGGAUUUUUUCAUCCUGUUUGUGCUGGAUUUUCCUUCUGGCCAAUUGGUACCCGUUUAGGUAAAAAAGUCAACACUAUAGCUUAAAGUCUUUAUCAUGAAUUUUCAGAUUUUUUCCUUAGAUACAAAGGGGAUGUAAAAAUGGGAUGUUUAUGGUAGACGUCAGGGCCUAGCAGUAAAGUAUUACAAAUAUUUCAUGGGAUCUUCUUUAAUGGAGAAUGUAUGUAUAUAUUGUAUGACAGUCUUGUAAUAGAAACGCCAAAUAAUCUACUAGACCUGGAAGUGAAGGCUACUCUGUGAUCAUUAGGAGAAAUAUCAACUUCACUUUUCUCUUCUUGAUAGUUUCACAAUCCAACUUAAAUUCAGGAACAGUUUUGUGUGUAUACACACACAUAUAAAUCAGUAACAGUGUGCUUAUAUAUGCUCGGGCCCUGAAGUGUUCAUUUAUUUUGAUUUUUUCAGAUUUUGGAAUAUCUGCAUAUACAUAAUGAGACACCUUAGAGAUGGGACCCAAGUCUAAACACAAAAUUCACAUCUUUCAUAUAGACCUUAUACACAUGGACUGAAGAUAAUUUUAUACACAACAUUUUAAAAUAACUUUGUGCAUGAAGCAAAAUUUGUAUCCACUGAACCAACAGAAAGCAAAAAGGUCACUAUCUCAGGCACCAAUGAAAACAAUUUUGUAAUAUUUUAGACCUGUACUUUUAUUUCACAAUGGCAGCACGUAUUAUCAAAAGAAUACAACGCAAUCUUAAAUGACUUGUUAAACUGUCUUUAUUUUGUCUCCAACACAAGGUAACUUCUUUUGCAGAUUAAAGACCAAAUCCUAACAGUCACCUGAAGAAAAGAGUUCUGAUAGAAGAAUAUGAGAGAGAUGGGAUGAUGGGAUUAAAGUACAUAUGUAAAUUUGAUAGUAUACCCGUUCACCUUAUGACAUUUCAGUGUCAAGAAAUGCAACACUACCAAAUGAACCAUCAUCAUGCAUUAUGUCAUGAUCAUUAUGUAAUUUUUUAAAAAAAAUUGGUCAUGCACAACAGUAUUCGUAAAAUCCAUAAUAUAACAAUUACACAAAUUAUGAUUUGUAAAUAUAUGUAUGAAUAAGAUGUGAUCUAGUGAAACUGCAGGCUAAAUCAUGUUUUUUUAAAAAAAAAAUUAAGAGCAUAUGCUUAUUUCACAGACUAAAAAGUGUUUUGACAGAAAUUCUCAUUUUAAAUGCACUGUGCUUAUACUAUGUAAACUUCAUUUGGUUUUUUAAAAAAAUCUUGAGUCAUUUAGACUUCUAAAUUAUAAAACUAUUUAUAUGUGUAUGAAAUCCAAAAUAUCUCAAAACAAUAUUUAAAUACAUUAACCUCUAAAUGUAAAAUACAAGGUUUUGUAGCAUAUGCUUAAACUUUAGUUAGAACAAAAGGAGCUGUGUACAACUGGGGGGGGGGGAACCUGCCCCCUCGGUCUAACCCAGGCAUGGGCAAACUUUAGCCCUCCGGGUGUUUUGCACUUCAGCUCCCACAAUUCCUAACAGCUUACCUGGAGGGCCGAAGUUUGUCCAUGACUGAUCUAACCUUAUGUUAUCCUCAUACCAUAGAGCUCUCUUGACUACAGGGUCAUCUUUGCUCUCCAAACUGCAACUCUGUAAAUGGUUUCUUCAUUAGUUUGUGUGUGUUGCAUUUAUAUUUAAAUAAACAUGAAGGUGAGGAUCAGGAAAAUAGGAAUUAGACAAAGAGCAUUGAAAUCCCCAAACUGCCAUUCAUUCACUCCUGGGUCAAUGACCCCUUUAAAAAAAAAAAGGAUUCCCCCAACUGAUAUAAAGCUUACUACCCCUUCAUGUGAUGUAGAUCAAUGCUUCUCAAAGUGGUGGUCCCUGACCUGGGCCAGUCUGUGGCAGGUUUCCAGGAAACAGUUGUAGCCAAUCAGUAUAAAUGUAGUUUCGUUUCCUGACACAUCAGGGAAAAAACUACCCAGUUUCCAACAUCAGACAAGUUGAGAAGCACUCGCAUAGGUCAAUAUUCCAACUUUGAGAUUUGAAAACUAUACUCAAAAUGUUUCUCAAUUAGAGCAAGGUAUCAAUUCAUAAUCAAGAAAGUUGACUCAGAAAAAUGGAGAUUCAUGGAAUGGCAUUCUUUUUAUUUAAUCUAAGACUUCUCAACUGGAAAGGGACUAAGCAGCAUGCAGUUAGAUGGGAAAAAUAUGAAAUCAUAAAUUAACAGGUACACAUGUGUUAUUCUCUCCUCUCCUGAAAAGAGAGAGGAGAGAAACACUGAAUAUAUACAAUGUUCCUAAAAAUAUUUUCCCUGAUGUUAGCUACAUAAAUAGUAAAUCAGUAUUUUCUGCAGUUUCUCACUUUUAAAUGACCUUACAUGUUUUUUCUAAAAAGUCCUCUCAGAUUUUAGAAAUGGAUUGACAACUAGUUAAAAGUAUUAGUAAAAUGUACAUUUUACACAAGACAUUUAAUGAUACAACAUUAAAAGCAGUAUGUUAAGGCUGUAUGUUUUCUACAUUAAACCCGUAAACAAUAUGACUAGCAAGAUCCUAUAUAAAAUUUAGGAAAUACACUUAAACUGCAUAUAAGUGAAAAAUGAAAAAUUAUCCUAUACUGUAUCAACAAAGAAAUUUUAAAGCUGAAAUCAACAUACACACUUAAAACCUGCAGCUUGUAGUGAUGGGAGAAACCAGAGAUUUAGGUGUAAUUCAACAUACUGAGAAUAAAAAGCAGUCUUAAUACAUACACUCCAGUGAUGAUACGUUAAUCAGGAUUCUCUUUGUUAAAAUCACUCAAAUUUAAACAAAAACGUGCUUCAUAUACCCCCUGAAGCAAUGCUUAACAAGCCACCUGAGCUGACAUCAGAUUGAGAAAAGCCAGCACAUCUCUUCGUUAAAUAUUUAAAAGUGCUUUGUCUAAAAAAUAUUUUCUCCAGAAGUUCUCCCUCCAGCUACUAUUUUUUGUUCAAUAUUGGGGGGGGGGGGGAAGCAAUCUAUGAAAAAGGUGUUCAAAUUUGCUCUGCUAAUUACAUUUCUGGAUUAUAGAAGUAGCAACCUCUAUAAUAAUACAACACACUGCAAAUUCAUGGUACAGUAGCCAUGCAGAGAGAUGACAACUCAAAUAUCCAGGACUGGGGCACUGAUCAAUUUUUAAUCAUUUCUCUCUCUCUCUUUUUUU
This is a long non-coding RNA of Anolis carolinensis (green anole), 3900 nucleotides long. RefSeq lists it as uncharacterized. The transcript has 2 exons. The record is from RefSeq and is a predicted model, not a curated record. NCBI's taxonomy places the organism in Eukaryota, Metazoa, Chordata, Lepidosauria, Squamata, Anolidae.